RNAcentral lists this long non-coding RNA (22480 nucleotides) under Triticum aestivum (bread wheat). RNAcentral describes it as "long non-coding RNA (TAES_LNC028003)". Lineage: Eukaryota; Viridiplantae; Streptophyta; Magnoliopsida; Poales; Poaceae. The record is from RNAcentral.
AAUUUGUCUUUUUCACGAGAGGUGGAUCAAAACUUUUUACACCCAACCAUUUGGUCAAUUGUGCAUUAAAUAUGGCCUAGUAUUUUAUAAAAAUAAUUUGGUCCAAUUUUGCAACAAUUAUUUGGGAGGUCCUUCACAAAAAAACCUCCUUUUGGGCACUCGAAAAAUGGAAAAUGGUUUUUUCGUCCAAAGAAAAUGAAAAGUUCCUUAGGCAACAUCAUUUUCCAUUCCAAUAUGCACCCUUGUGCACAAUAUGAGAUCAUUUAAGCAAACUAUGCCAUGAAUGUGGCCAUAAGAUUGAUCAUUUGGCUUGAAAGCCAUUGAUCUCCACACAUGAUAGCUCGUUUCUGAGAACACUUUUUUAAAAUAAUUGUCGUAUUACAAUUUUGUUAUUUUUCCUGGGAACUUGGCCACAUAUAAUGACACAAUGCGAAGGUUUCCCAAUUUUUUGAUUUUUUUUGAAUUUUUUAUGCCCGUUUCAAAAUGCGGUCAAAACGGUGGGAAUGACCGUUCCUAGUUAGUGGUUGAAUCUUGGAAUUUUUUUGGUGUUUCUCUGAUAAAAUAGAUACUUAUGUACCUAGAAAUGAUUUUUGGAAAAAAUAAAGAGCAAACUAGAAAGCAGCUACAGUUCAAAUUUGAUGUGCUCCACACGUGCUAUGAUUGUGAAUUAUAAAAUUGAUGUGCUCCAAAUUUGCAACAAAUAUUUGCUAGAUUUUUUUAUAAAAAUAUCAUUUUGGACACUCGAAAAAUGAUUCUCUUACAAAAAACUCAUAUCUUAGAACACUUUUUUUAAUGAUAUUAACAAUAUUCAAAGUUUGUUAUUUUUACUGAAAAGUAGUUCACAUUUGGUGACACAAUGCGAAGGUUUUCUAUUUCCAUAUUUUUAUAAAUUUCUUAGGUAGUCAAAUAACAGACAUGAUUCAAAAUCUUAUUUUCAAUGGAUUAUGACCAAUUUAAAUGGUCUUAACAUCAUCAAAGGGGAUACUCUGUUCUGAUUGGUCUAAAAUCAGCUCACGCGGAUCAUGGCUUAAGCACCGUCGGAUGCGCCCGGAUCCGACGGUAGCCCACACCCCCCUCGUCGAUCUCACCCCCUCCCGAAUCACCUCGUAUCCCUCUCAGACUCGUCUACCCACGAAACCCUAGCCCCCUUCUCCCAAUCAUCGCCGCCGCCCAGAUCCAAUCCAAGUCAGAGCCCCCGGCCUCCAUCUCCAUUCCUGCGUGCAUCGGCCACCUCCCUCCGGCGGAGCUCGACCCCCAAGCACCGCUGCUCCACCCUCUCCCGCGCCCCUCGAUCCCAGAUCCCCAUCUCCAAUUAACCCUCUCCCGCGCCCCUCGAUCCCAGAUCCCCAUCUNNNNNNNNNNNNNNNNNNNNNNNNNNNNNNNNNNNNNNNNNNNNNNNNNNNNNNNNNNNNNNNNNNNNNNNNNNNNNNNNNNNNNNNNNNNNNNNNNNNNNNNNNNNNNNNNNNNNNNNNNNNNNNNNNNNNNNNNNNNNNNNNNNNNNNNNNNNNNNNNNNNNNNNNNNNNNNNNNNNNNNNNNNNNNNNNNNNNNNNNNNNNNNNNNNNNNNNNNNNNNNNNNNNNNNNNNNNNNNNNNNNNNNNNNNNNNNNNNNNNNNNNNNNNNNNNNNNNNNNNNNNNNNNNNNNNNNNNNNNNNNNNNNNNNNNNNNNNNNNNNNNNNNNNNNNNNNNNNNNNNNNNNNNNNNNNNNNNNNNNNNNNNNNNNNNNNNNNNNNNNNNNNNNNNNNNNNNNNNNNNNNNNNNNNNNNNNNNNNNNNNNNNGAUCCCCAUCUCGAAGUCACCCUCUCACUCCCUCAGAUCUCGAUCCGCCACCGCCCACCAUCGACGACCCUCACCAUAGACGAGAUCGAGCUCCUCCCUCCCUCCUGUUCUCCCCUAGCCUGAUCCACUCCGAGCCAACCAACCACUCCGUCCUUGGGAUUUUGUCGCGCGGCGCCUCGUCUCGCCGGCCCGGCGACCACAGGCAGGCAUUCCACGACCAGGAUGGCGGCGUGCCCCGCCACAACCACGUACGCGCACGACACUCCACACCUCCCCUCCCUCUCCUGCGGUUCCUAACAUAUGCGCUCCUCUCCUCUCCUUGGGUGACAUGCAGGGCUCGCGUGGGAGCAGCGCAUGGCGGAGGCCUCUGGAGGAGAAGCAGGAAGAGCCCGACCGUCCUCGCGCGCCCGCCCAUGGCAGGAGCACCACGGCUUGCGCCUCGGAGCUACAACAUCUCCUUGGCGACUUCGUCUUCGGCAUCCUGCCGGCCACGCUCGUUGGCGUCGACCAGCCUGGGUCGUCGGCUCCUCCGAGCCCGAGGUACGGAUUUGGGUCCAUUCCUUUUCCUUCUUGAGCAACCUUGGUGAGCCAGCCGAAGCGAUGUCGAUUCAUCCACCUGAACCCGGUUGAUUCCGCUCUGUAAUGUCUACGUAGCAUCGCCUCUGCACCUGCUCUGUUAGUUCCAUCGCGUACUGCCUAGGUCGACUUCUUUGUAUUGCUUAGCCCUGUCAAGGGAAUCAGGCCGCUGUUGUGUACGGACAUGUAAUCUCUGUGAAAUACUAGAGGAAAUAGGUUGGUUUAGCCAGUAACACCAGCUCUGGAGUGUGCAGAAAUUGCUAUGUUUGUCUGAUUUGUUGGUUUGUAUUUCCAUAUACGAGUUCAGUUCGGCAGGGGAAUGUGGAUAUGGAUAUGUGACAAAUUCCACCUGCACAGGGGAUGUGGAUAUGUGAUGGUGAUAUGAGGAAAUGUGGUUGUAGUAUUUUCUGCACAAUUUCCUCGUGUCUCCAUCACGGCCUCUUUGUAGGUUUAAUUUCCUUGAGACUCCCUGUAGCUUCCUUCUGAAGGAUGGCAAUGUUGCACACAUCUUAGAAUGAAAGCUGAACCAUCCUGAAUUUAGAGCAAUCUCUGAAGAUACAGUGAAAAUUAUUAGAACAAAGAUACAUAGCUCCUUACUGGGUUCCCACCUUACUAAAUUUCUGUGCUGGUUAAUGAUAAUGCUGCUUCUUUUUCAUUGUCUAGACAUUUCGGAUAGCAGGUUCUCCAGCCAGCCGUAUUUUCUUCCAAGAAAUAUUGAAUAACUUGUUUACUUCAUUUUUUAAAAACAGAUAAUACAUAUUGAAUUAUUCAUAUUAAUCUAAAAUAAUAACCAAACAACUAUAGGACAGUGGAUUACUAGCAUGCAUGUGUGACUUAGUUUUUGGUGUGUUUUGCUUGCAGGUCAUUGUUGUGAAGGCCGCCACGGGAAGGCGUGGGGGACUUGGCACAAGGCCGGUGAUCGAAUCUAUGCUCUCUGCUCCAUGGAAAGGCCUAAAUUCAGCUUGACAGAGAGCACACAAAUGGUUGCAUAGUGUGUUUAGGUUCUGGAACUUAUAAUUAGAAGGUUUAGAAAAUGUUAGUCGAGCUAACUGUUCACAAUCUGAAGUAACUUUAACUUGGUACAAAAUUGGUCUGAUAUUAGUUUUAUAUCACAAAAGUAGGGAGGUUCCUACUGCUUAUUAGUAUCACCUUUGGAUUAUUACUGCGUUCGGUUCACCAUUGUACUGAUUAUCUUGGCGAGCAUUUGUUUAAUAACUAGAAUACAUUGUUUGCUGGGCACUCUAUUUACCUUACCUUGCAUGUACAAUGCACAAGGUCAGUUUGCGUACUAUUACAAAUGUCUGCGAGGGUCCUUUGUGCUACUAGUGAUUUUGAUCGAUUCUUUGCAAGACAAUCACGUACACAGAUGCCUAAGCAGCUUAAUUGAUUGCAGCUUAAUUGAUUCCGACUAUCUGAACAAGUUACUGUUAUCCAAAUGAUUUUGCCUACAAUAAGCUAUUAUUCACCAUUGGUUCAGUAGAUGUUUAUGUAGUAGAAAAUUACACUACCAGUGAUAGUCUGAAUCUAACAUGAUCAACAUCUUACUCCUGUAUUUGUCUUGCCCAUAGUACUCCUGUAUGAGUAGCUGUAUACUCCUGUAGUUUUUCCUGCCUGUAGUGCAGAGAUGGAGUAGUUUGUCCUGCCUGUGUGAUGUUCUUUCCAGCAUCUUAGCUGUGUACUCUAAUUACUGGAGUAUUCUAUAGAUUUUUUCAAUUAAAACUACUCCAGAGAUGUUAUUUCCAGCAUUGACAUAAUUUAUUUUCUUUUGUUAAUGGUUACUGCUGAUGGUGCAGACUUUCCAUGUAUGCUCUCACAAUCUAAACUAAUUUAUAGUUUUACUGAAACUGUAGUUUUUGUAGUUUUAUUUUGUGUUCUUAUAGUUUUACUUAAACUGUAGUUUGGUCCAUCUUUACACCAGCUGUAGUUUUCUGAAUUUUUGUGCUUGCUAUGAUGCAGUAUGCUUCGACGGGAGCAUCUGCGGAGAGGGUCAGGGAGUGGGUCUCAGAGCUCGCUCAUCCACUUGGAGGUACGCACCUUGCUAAAUCUUGGUGCAACUUAUCAUCAGAUUUUCUUUGAAACUUGGCGUUGAUUGGUCUGAAGAUGAAACUAUAGUACUAUACACACGACAUGCAGCAGCCACUUAUAUCAAACAGUGGAGCAGUGCUGCUGUCCUGAAUGGAACGACACGAUAUUCAGCAUCGUUGAUAAAUCGUUGUGUGUAUAGCAGGGUUUAAUUAGAUACUUGGAAUUAAUGUCUGCGUGCAUAUAUAACCGAUUGGAUUCUGUAUGUAUGCUUAGAUGAUUGUUUGGCUCUAUAUAAUUGUUGACUUGAAUAUCUUGACUUUCCAAACAAGUAUAGGACUGUGCCUAUGCAUACAGAUUAUCCUAACAAAACUGAAAGUAAAAAUUGAAGCAUGAAAUAAGCAAUAAGUGGCUGAUUUUUAUCUCCAUGUUAGCGGAAAGUUGCAGCCAAGGCUUAUAUAUUACAAAAUAUUGUCUCACAUUUGAGCUUCUACCAUUAUGAGGGACAUUGUAAUCAAUAUCCCCACUGCUAAUUUACCUCAAGUUUAUCGUUUACCAGAAGUUUCAAAUUAGAAGAAGUUUCAAAUUCUUAUGCUGGUUUAUGUUCUCUUUGUAGGUUAUGAGAUAUGGUGCUGGAGAGAUGCCAUUAGCAAACUGGAAGGGCUGCAACCAAAUCCAAUCGGCAGCAUGGCAGUGGUCUCUGAAUAUUCAGCGAUUCCUUUUUUGUUUGGCCUUCUUGUAGGUUUGCACAUAAGUGGAAGUUGUAGUGUAUAUUAGUAGCCGCUGGAGCUGUGAUGGUGAUCUUUCUUUUGAGUGGCUGUCGUUAUGACAAUCUUUUAGUUGCUGCUUCUUAUGUAUAGAUAAUGUGAUGAAGAUGUAACUGCAACAGAUGAUGUAUGAUUGUACAGUGAAACAAAUGUUGCUUUGAUAGCAAAAUUGAAAAAACUGAAUUGUUUCUCUAUUGUCCAGUCCUUUGAAUUAGCGGGCUGAAAAUAUUGAUGGCCUGGAAGAGGCCUUAGCCCAAACAAUAGACAAAAAAAAAUUGAAAGAAAAAAUGUCUUAAAAAAUUUAAAAAGUUAAAUGGACCGCAAAAAGGCCGAGGCCCAAAAAAUGGAAGAAGCUCAGAAAAAAGGCUGGCCCAAAAGAAUAAAUGGUUGUUGGGCUUGGCCCAUGAACCCAACAAAAAAUUGAUGAAAAAAACACAAAUAGGCUGAAUUGUUGGGCUAGGCCCAUGUAGAAAAUCGAAUUGGACCGGGCUGAAUCUUGUGCCACAUCAGAUUGCCACGCUGUAUGCCUACGUGGCCUGGGGAGGUUGCUAGUGACCAAAACGCCACAGUAGACAUAUUUUGGUCAUAAACGUCUACGACCAUUCCAGAAGAAAGGUCGCUAUAGUUAGUUUACGACGGCCAGCUUUUGACCUUAUGUUUUUGGUCACAAAAAGGUCACAAAUGGAAAUUUGUGACCAUUCAGUGACCAAUAGUGGUGGUCACAAGUUGACAUAUUUCUUGUAGUGCCAGUGACGAUGGAGAUCAUGACGAUGUUUUGGAGAUGGGGUCAAAAGCACAAGAUGAUGAUGGCCAUAUCAUCUCACAUAUUUUGAUUGCAUGUGAUGUUUAUCUUUUAUGCAUCUUAUUUUUCUUAGAACAGCGGUAGCAUUAUAAGAUGAUCCCUUUACUGUUCUCCCCGAGUGUGCACCGUUGCCAAAGUCCGUUGUUUCAAAGCACCUCGUGAUGAUUGGGUGUGAUAGACUCUACGUUCACAUACAAUGGGUGUAAGACAGUUUCGCACAUGUAGAAUACUUGGCUUAAACUUGACGAGCCUAGCAUGUACAGACAUGGUCUCGGAACACUGGAGACCGAAAGGUCGAACGUGAGUCAUAUAGUAUAUAUGAUCAACAUAGAGAUGUUCACCAUUGAUGACUACUGAGGGAGUCCUGGAUUAGGGGGUCUCCGGAUAGCCGGACUAUCUCCAUUGGCCGGACGGUUAGACUAUGAAGAUACAAGAUUGAAGACUUCGUCUCGUGUCCGGAUGGGACUCUACUUGGCGUGGAAGGCAAGCUAGGCAAUACGGAUAUGGAUAUCUCCUCCUUUGUAACCGACCUUGUGUAACCCUAACCCUCUCCGAUGUCUAUAUAAACCGAAGGGUUUUAGUUCGUAGGACAACAAUCACAACAUACAAUCAUACCAUAGGCUAGCUUCUAGGGUUUAGCCUCUCUGAUCUCGUGGUAGAUCUACUCUUGUACUACCGAUAUUAUCAAUAUUAAUCAAGCAGGACGUAGGGUUUUACCUCCAUCAAGAGGGCCCGAACCUGGGUAAAACAUCGUGUCCCCUGCCUCCUGUUACCAUCCGGCCUAGACGCACAGUUCGGGACCCCCUACCCGAGAUCCGUCGGUUUUGACACCGACAUUUGUGCUUUCAUUGAGAGUUCCUCUGUGGCGUCGCCGUUAGGCUUGCUGGCUCCUACUAUCAUCGAUAGCGAUGCGGUCCAGGGUGAAACUUUUAUCCCCGGACAGAUCUUCGUAUUCGGCGGCUUUGCACUGCGGGCUAAUUCGCUUGGCCUUCUGGAGCAGAUUGAAAGCUACGCCCCUGGCCGUCAGGUCAGAUUUGGAAGUUUGAACUACAUGGCCGACAUCUGCGAAAACUUGAUCUUCGAUGGAUUCGAGGCACAUGUUGACGCUCAAAAUUGGCACAGUCAUAAAAUUAGCAUAGGUUAUAUCAAGAACAAUUCAAACUUAUGAUUGGAAGUCACCUUGGAAUGUCUCUCUUCGAGAAGAUCAAGAUGGAUAUCAAGAUAGUCUAAAACGGAGCUCGGACUCAAAAGUUAUGACAAGUUCAGAGAUGCUCAUGUUGACACCAGAGUAAAGAAAGGCAUAAAACUCAAUCAAGAUGGCCUCUGGUGGAAUCUGUUUCAACAUGAGAGUUGUGCGUCUCGUCGAAACGAUUGAUUUUGAUAUAAAAAUCGUCUUAAUCCGAGUUCGUAUGCAACCUGUGGAGGCAAAACAAGGUCAGAAACAAAAGCUGCAGAGUCAUUUCGGACCGACCGAGUUGAUUUGAUCGUGAGACCGAGUUUGUCCGAAAAUUUACUAGAGAGUUGGCAAUGUUGACUCGGUAGGACCAAAGCAAACUAAUCGGUAAGACCGAGAUUGAUCCAAAAAGUUACAGAAAGUUGACCACGUUCACUCGGUGGGACCGAAGCAAACCAAUCGGUGAGACCGAGAUUGAUCCGAAAAUUGCCAAAGAUUCCUAUGCGAGUUAGGUUAGGGUUUUUGAUGUUUUGGACGGAAUUUUUAGUCCUUUUCUUGUACGGGAAGUCCAGCCGCCUCUUAUAUAUGUUGGGGGUGACGGCUGACUGAAACAACACACAAUCGAACAAAUCUAUCUACAUCUUUUACCUUUACUUUUCCUUCUCCCUUGUUCUUCUUCUUCCUCGUUCUUCGUUCGUUCUUCUUCAUUGUAGGGCGGCGAACCUCGAGGCCCUAGGGGCGAUCAGGUCGACCUAGGGCAGCCCAUAGUCGCUACGCGCCCUGACGGGGUCCCUCCCGGGCGUGUGGGGUUUCGGGUCCUCAAAAGCGCCCGCCGGAUUGUCUUGCGUACCGCGCUUCCGGCAGGUCUCCUUCGACAUGAACUGUGGUGCAUCACCCCCGGCGUCGAGGGUACACGAUGACGUGUUCGUGUGCGAACACACUUUUUGGCGACUCCGCUGGGGACGAAGCUUUGAACGGUCUCCGGCCCGUUCUUGCUACGAAGAGAUCGUCAUCUAGGGUUUGCAAUCUACAAAGGUAAUAUGAAUACCCAAUUCACAUAUGUAGAUGCAAAUAAUGCGUAUGUUGUUGCUAGAUCAUCUAAUGAGCAUAAUGUAUCGGCUAGCCCUAUAUUUAUCAAUCAUGCAUCUAAUUAUGUGCAAGGGCCGAUGCAACAAAAUCUCCAUGAUUCUAUUUCAUAUAAUUCUAGCAACAUGCAACAUAUGUAUCCCAACCCUCAUGCAUCGGCAACCCCACAAAUCCAUAUGCCGAUGAACAACAUGAUGGGUUCGGUUAAUCGAUUUGAAACACCUGAUGUUAAAAUUUCCAAUAGCAUAGAAGAGAGUGUUUCACCUUUUUAUUCAUCGGCAACUAAUUUGCAGUAUGUGAAUCCAAACGUGCCGGUGGAUAGGGGAAUUGGCCAUGUUACUACUAGUUAUUUGGCCAAUUACCCUCAAACAUCAUAUGCUACACCUAAUGCUACUAAUUUUUUGGCACCAUACGCAACUGUUGAUGUCCAUAAUUCGGCUCCGCACCUUCAUGGUCAUGGCCGAAUAAGUGAAACUUCUGCAGGAGCACAAAUGCCUUCACCUACUACCGUGGCAUAUCAUGUACCCCCUACACAAUUACAGAAUUUCAGCAACAUCUCAUUGCCGAAAGAGUCUAAAAGCAUCGGGGGGCAACCAUAUCCAGACUGGGUGGUUGAGAACAAGCUUACAUUCUCUUGGGAUUUGUGCAACUCCAUUCGACAGGAACUAAUAGAAGGAGGGAAGCCUCAUGAUUUUGCUGCAGUAAAAGCUAGAGUUGUGCAAAUGAUGCAGUCGCCCAGUGUUGUACCAUCUAGUGUACCCCCUAAACAAUUGCAAAGUUUCGGCACCUCAUUGCCGGAAAAGUUUGAAAGUAUUGGGGGGAAAUUUCAUGAGGAGUGGAUGGAAAUUGAGAUGAAAAGGUUCAAAGCUCGCUAGGCUGAGAUGUGGGCUAAAAUUAGACAAGAGCGAGAAGCCUUGCAAAUUCAAAAAGAUAAAGAUAUUGAUUCGGGUAACAAAGAAAAUCCAGUUAUUGAAAAAGCCGAAUCAAGUAGUAUAUAUUCUGAGUCCAUCAAAUCCAAAGAAGCAAGCAUUAUUGAGAAAGGGCAUGGCAAGCGUAGGAAAACAGCGGUGCUUGAUUUUUCUGAAGUUAGCGGAACCUACUUCCUGCCCUAUGAGUUUCGUGCCAUAGAAAUUGACAAGCCUCUAGGACAAGAGCAAGUAGCUGAACAAAGUUUGGCUGACAAGGAUCUUCAAAGUAAUGUUGCAUGGAAUCAAGAAAAAUAUGAUGAUAAGGCGUUGGGGAGCCAUCCAAAGAUAGAUCAAGAUAUUGUUCAAGUCACACCACCAUCAUGCUCUCCCAACAAAUUUGAAAAAGUAUGCCUAGCAAGUAAUUUUCCUAUUUCUAGAUUUGGUCGCAACUUCAUAGUUGAUGCAUCUAUUAGAAAAAUCCUCAUAAGUAAUUUUGAAAGACCAAUGAAGAAGGGUUAUUUACUUGUUAGCAACAAAAUUGUUAUUGAGCAUAUCGGUCAACCCAUUGUGCCAUUCAGAAAGACCGAUAGCGAAAAAUUAUUGCAGCCAAGGCUUUCCCCGUUGCUUUAUCUAAAGCUCAUAUCUAAUUGGGUAGCUUUGCUUAUUUCUUACUUGGCUUACACUUGGUCUCAAUUGAGACAUGUAUGUUUUAACUAUUUUUGUUUCAGAAAUUUAAAGCCAAGGUUAAAAUCUUUUGAGCAAACCGAUGCCAGUAUAGUUUCUUAUCCAAAGACAUCGGAGGUAGAGUGAAAAACACAAUGCAUAGUCGAAUGGGGUGAUGCAAAAUCUGAAUCAUUCAUUUGCUUAACUCCAAAGCCGUUCUCACAACAAGAUCGGCUAGAGAAUAAAAAAUUUACCUUCAGUUCAAGCAUGUGUGAUCAAAUAUUUGAUUUAUUAUUGAGAAAUAAUUAUAUUAGAAUUCUUGACCACCAUGUUGAGCCAUCUGUCCAGGUACGAAUGUAUUAUAAGUUGCAUGAUUCGUCCAAGCAUAAUUUUGAGGAUUGCAAGAUGUUCCGUCAAAUAGUUAAAUCAGCAAUUGAUAAAGGACGAUUAAAAUUUGUUGAGACACCAACAGAUGACGAGUCUAUUCGAAUUGGUCCUGAUGGCAAAAGGUUUUUGCAUCGGCUGCUUCAAGCCGAUCCAUUUAAAGAGAAGGUAAAAACUACAGGUGAUGGGAUUGAGCUUUCAAGUAAUCAAGUUGUUGAAGAGCAUAAUGAACAUAAUCUUGAGGGCGAGAAUUCCAUCGAAACUACAAUGAAGACGCCAAAGACUGGGGGGCACCAAGCAAAUCCAAUGAUCGACGAAAGCAAAUCAAAAGAAAACAAAGGCCGAAAUAAGCGCAAGUAUAAGAGAUCAAAAAUCGCCUUUGCUGAACUAUUGGAUAAAUACCGAAAGAAGAGUGAUGAGAAGAAUGCUUGUCGGCCCAAUCCUGGAAAGAAACAAAGAUCACCCCCAAGGCGCAAAUAUGAGGAUUGGUAUUGGCAAAGUGAGUAUUUUAAUGCAACAUAUUCAUAUCCUUAUUUUAAGCCACCAAUGCCAAUGUCGUGGAUGCCUCCCUAUGCUCAUAUAGAUCCAUAUCCAUCAUGGGACAUGUAUGAUACAAGGGCACAUUCUCCAUCUUAUUUUAGAUCAUCUCACCAAUAUUAUGCAGCUCCGAGAAGAUCAACAUUUGAACAAUCACAUGUUAAAGACCGCUUCAGUCAUAAGAAAUUGGUCCAGAGCUCAAGGAAGAAGAAAGAGGUGGUCAAGCAAGUUUACCGUGUUAAAAGAGAUGGUCGUAAGAGUGCAACUUCAGAUUUGAUCUCAAAUGAAAAAGAGCCAAUUAAUGUGUUGACAUUGGCUACUAAAGACAAUGAGACAAAGCAACCAAUUAUUGAGAGUCGAAGUGCCAAAUCUGAAGAAAAGAAGUUGAGAGUGCACAAGGCCAAAAAGGAAUUGUCAUUGGUCAAAACAGAAUCACGGCCGAGAUGCCCACUCAUCUUAUCCUAUUGGCAAAAGAGGGAACUACAAAAACUUAGUGCACAUGAACUUGAAGAAAGGAACAUGGCAUGGGUUCCCAAAGGAAGUGCUCAAAAUAAGAAUUAUGUGAAAGCAUCCAUUACACGACGUGCGGCAAAGAUGAAGAAGGAAAAGAGUGAAAACUAUGAAGGACCAAGCCGAAGGUUUCAACAUCUUCGUUCCACACAUUAUCCAUAUUCUUCAACUAUGUCAUUGAUGCCUAUGCCAUGGAAUUCGUCAUCAGGUAUGAUUGGUUACCCUCAAUGGACUUAUUAUAAUCCAUGGAUGCAAUAUAAUUUCUUACAUCAUGAAAGGGUAUUGCCAAAUAACUAUACAUUUGAUUAGCUACAAGUUUGUUGCUGAUCCAAAGGGCCGAAAUACUUGAUUUGUCAUUUCAUUUGUUUAUUUCGGCUAUAUGUGCUUUGAAUGAAGUUUACAUAGUAAUGGACGAUAUAUACUUACCGUCCUAAGAAGAUGCAGAAUGGACGACGGAGUGUUGACAUCGUCCUUAGAACCAACAUGGUACAAGUUAUUUUUUGGCACGCUAGCUAUGCCGAAAAACAGGGGGGCAUGUGUUGACGCUCAAAAUUGGCAUAGUCAUAAAAUUAGCAUAGGUUAUAUCAAGAAAAAUUCAAACUUAUGAUUGGAAGUCACCUUGGAAUGUCUCUCUUCGAGAAGAUCAAGAUGGAUAUCAAGAUAGUCUAAAACGGAGCUCGGACUCAAAAGUUAUGACAAGUUCAGAGAUGCUCAUGUUGACACCAGAGUAAAGAAAGGCAUAAAACUCAAUCAAGAUGGCCGCUGGUGGAAUCUGUUUCAACAUGAAAGUUGUGCGUCUCGUCGAAACGAUUGAUUUUGAUAUAAAAAUCGUCUUAAUCCGAGUUCGUAUGCAACCUGUGGAGGCAAAACAAGGUCAGAAACAAAAGCUGCAGAGUCAUUUCGGACCGACCGAGUUGAUUUGAUCGGUGAGACCGAGUUUGUCCGAAAAUUUACUAGAGAGUUGGCAAUGUUGACUCGGUAGGACCGAAGCAAACUAAUCGGUAAGACCGAGAUUGAUCCAGAAAGUUACAGAAAGUUGACCACGUUCACUCGGUGGGACCGAAGCAAACCAAUCGGUGAGAUCGAGAUUGAUCCGGAAAUUGCCAAAGAUUCCUAUCUGAGUUAGGUUAGGGUUUUUGAUGUUUUGGACGGAAUUUUUAGUCCUUUUCUUGUACAGGAAGUCCAGCCGCCUCUUAUAUAUGUUGGGGGUGACGGCCGAUUGAAACAACACACAAUCGAACAAAUCUAUCUACAUCUUUUACCUUUACUUUUCCUUCUCCCUUGUUCUUCUUCUUCCUCGUUCUUCGUUCGUUCUUCUUCAUUGUAGGGCGGCGAACCUCGAGGCCCUAGGGGCGAUCAGGUCGACCUAGGGCAGCCCAUAGCCGCUACGCGCCCUGACGGGGUCCCUCCCGGGUGUGUGGGGUUUCAGGUCCUCAAAAGCGCUCGCCGGAUUGUCUUGCGUACCGCGCUUCCGGCAGGUCUCCUUUGACGUGAGCUGCGGUGCAUCACCCCCGGUGUCGAGGGUACACGGUGACGUGUUCGUGUGCGAAUAGUACAGCCGAGCGCGCCGCACUAUCACGAUGGGUAUGACCUAGCUCUGCCGCCGAACAGUACCCCAGAGGCCGCGCCCGCAUCAGCUCCGACCCUUAGCUCGGAGCCAACUGAGCCAAUCGAGGACGGGUGGUUAGACACCGCCUUAGGGGCUGCAGUCUCAACGGCGAUCGAGCCAAACACCAGCAUAAUCCUCUGCGCAGCCCGUGACUCCAAGGUGUCGGACUCUUUUUCUGACUCCGAACCGCCCGCGCCCCUGCCAAUCGAAUCCGAUUGGGCGCCGACCAUGGAAUUCACCGCCGCGGAUAUCUUUCAGCACUCGCCCUUCGGCGACAUUCUGAAUUCACUAAGGUCUCUCUCUUUGUCAGGAGAGCCCUGGCCGGAUUAUGGCCAACAGGAUUGGGAUGCGGACGACGAAGGAAUUUGACGCCCACCCACCACCCACUUAAUAGCCACUGUCGACGACUCAACCGACAUGCUCGACUUCGACUCCGAAGACAUCGACGGUAUGGAUGACGAUGCGGGAGGCGAAGAGGAACCACCGCCCACAGAGCGCUGGAUGACCACCUCAUCAUAUGACGUAUACAUGGUGGACACACCAAAAGAAGACGAUGACGAGGAACAGAAGGACGCACCGAAGGCUUGUUCCCUCGAGAAACAGUCAAAGCGGCGGCGCAAGCGCCGCCCCAAAUCCCGCCUCGGCAGAAAUAAAGAUCAUACAGACCCAGCGUUGGAGCAGGGCGAACCACUGCCGAACCACAGCAAUACGGAGAAUCAAACCGAACAAACCAAUUCUAUCAAAGGUAAUAGUCCGGAUGACAUAACGCCGGACAGGCACCCGGAGCAGCAGAAUGCCCGUCAAAGGCUUGUUGCCACCAUGAGGAGUCUGAAAAAGCAGAAGCAGAGGCUCAAGGCUGCGCAGGACACACUCCAAAUCAGAUGGAGCAAAGUACUCAACACAGUAGUGAAGUACGGCGGCAAUCGCCCAACCAAGAGCUACCCAAAGCGGAAGUUGCUACCUGAAUUCGAUGAGGAGGCCUCAGACCCCCCACAACCAAAAAUAAAAACGGCCAGCUGGCCGGAUAGACGACCUCACGGCCAACAUAGAGCGGCAAACAACGCCACCCACAAGCCAAUACGCGACCCACGCGAGGGCUCGCACCAAAAGGACAGUGCAACUAGAUCCAUCUAUGGACCAUGCAAGCGUGCCCCAGCAUAUGAUGUAACACAACAAACAUCCAAACAACACGGUACACCCAGAUACAGGGGUGCCGCACACCCCCUAUGUUUCACCGACGAGGUGCUGGACCAUGAAUUUCCAAAGGGAUUCAAACCCGUAAACAUAGAGGCAUACGACGGAACAACAGACCCUGGGGUCUGGAUUGAGGACUAUAUCCUCCAUAUCCAUAUGGCUCAAGGAGAAGAUCUCCACGCCAUCAAGUACUUACCCCUCAAGCUCAAAGGGCCAGCUCGUCACUAGCUUAAAAGCCUCCCCGAAAACUCCAUUGGAAGCUGGGAAGAGCUCGAAGAUGCUUUUCAGACAAAUUUUCAAGGGACUUAUGUCCGACCUCCGGACGCGGACGAUUUGAGUCAUAUAACUCAACAGCCCGGAGAGUCAGGACGAAAACUUUGGUACAUGUUUCUUACUAAAAAGAACCAGAUUGUCGACUGUCCGGAAGCCGAAGCAUUGGCAGCUUUUAAGCAUAGUGUCCAUGACGAAUGGCUUGCCAGACACCUCGGCCAAGAAAAGCCGAGAACAAAGGCAGCAUUAACAAGCCUCAUGACCCGCUUUUGCGCGGGUGAGGACAGCUGGGUAGCCAGAUGCAACACCAGCGACCCCAGUACAUCUGAAGUUAGAGAUGGAAACGGGAAAUCAUGGUGCAACAGCAAUAACAAACGCCGGAAUAAAGAAGACAACACGAAGAGCAUGAAAGUAAACGCCGGAUUCAAAAGCUCUCGGCCAGGUCAGCAAAAGCCGCCCUCUAAAGGCGCCAGAGAUGAACUGUCCAGCCUAAACAAAAUUCUGGACCAAAUAUGUUAGAUCCAUAGCACCCCUGGUAAACCCACUAAUCAUACUCACAGAUAAUGUUGGGUCUUUAAGCAGUCCGGCAAGCUCAACGCCGUACACAAGGGGGAGGAUGCACCAAGUGAAGACGAGGAUGAGCCUCUCAAGCAAGACACUGAGGAACAAAAGAAAUUUCCACCAGAAGUCAAAACAGUAAACGUGUUACACGUGAUCAAGGGGAGAAACAAAACGGCACUCCCAGGAAAAUAUGCCCAAGGGCCUAUCACCGCAGAGCCCUGCCACUAGUCGUCUCAACCAAUCACUUUCGACCAUCAUGAUUACUCAGCAAGUAUCCGGCGUGUAGGAUGGGCUGCCCUGGUAUUAGACCCAAUAAUCGACGGAUACCACUUCACACGAGUCCUGAUGGACGGUGGCAGCAGUCUCAACCUGAUAUACCAGGAUAAAAUCUGUGAAAUGGGGAUAGACCCAACGAAAAUUUGCCAUAGCAAUACUACCUUUAUAGGGGUAACGCCAGGCCUAGGGGCUCAUUGCACGAGCUCCCUGCUACUAAAGGUUAUAUUCGGCUUCCUUGAUAACUUCCGUAGCGAACAUUUAACCUUCCACAUCGCUCCGUUCCAAAGCGGCUAUCAAGCACUACUUGGACGCGAAGCUUUUACUCGCUUUAAUGCAAUACCACAUUACGCUUCCCUGACGCUCAAGAUGCCCAGUCCACGCGGCAUCAUUAUAGUGAACGGAAGUAUUAAGCGAUCUUUGCACGCCGAAGAGAAUGCGACUGCCUUGGCAGCUCCUCACCAACUAAAGCAUUUGAUAGGUCGUCAAGGCCACAGACGCGGUUAGACGAGUCCGGCACUGCUAUAUGUAAUUUGUGCCGGAUGGAUGGCCACACCCCUAUUACAAAUACAAGGGGCUCAACACGCACCGAGAAAUGAUCAUCGUGCUACACCCGUCCAGGAUACGGCACAACGGAAACACAAGUGCAGAUGUGCAGCAGGGACCCGUUCCAAGGAUUCGUUUUAGAUUAAGACCCUGUGUAAACCUUCUUUACUGUCUCUUGUUGAUACACAUCCACCGAAUUCUCAGCACAAUUGGGAAGGAUGCUGAUGUCUUGGCAUGUCGCCGUGUCAGAAUAAUGCACGUACCUAGACACAAGGGGCUUCUUACAAAGGGCACUAUUUAGGCCCGGUUUAUACAAUAAAGACUGAAUACCUUAGGGAGUGUUCGGCGUCGCGAGUUUGGCCUUAUAUGCAUCACCUCCGAAUCAUUGUCUUUGGUCAAAUGUUGGGUUUGCCCGGCUCCUGUGUUCUGGUGCCUUACGAUCCGCUUUAUCGGCUAAGGCAGCACCAGGAGAACUACUGCGAUUGUGCCCUGGUUCAUCCGGACGAGCACCUCAGUAGAGAAAGCCGAAAACUGACUUUCAUGAUAUAGCGUGAGACUAGUCAACCACUCGAUGACCUAUCGGAAUGUUAGAAUUCCUCCUCCUUAACAAAGGGCCGUUUUCCUGCCAGGCAUGUACGCACCCCGAGCUCGGGAGAGUGCGGAGCCACCAGGGGCUAUCUAGUAGCCCCACUGUCAAACUCCUAUGGCUAAGUGAAAGUGCUAAAGCAUUAUAGUCCGGUUGCCUCGCUCGCUCCGCUAUCACCUCCUUAAUAGGACCAAGACGUUGGGUUAAGUGUGAACACGAGUUUUUUGCGAGCACCUCCGCAUUAUAUGCGUGGGGGUUGAAGCCGACGACUGCAAUCUUUCAGGUUAUAUACAUAUAUACACAAACGGCCACACAUGAGCAUCACAUUACUUUCCGGCAAAAGUAUAAAUACAGCCUUACUAUAUUUCAUAAAAACAUUGUGUUUACAAUGGGAAUACAUGUCAUUCAAACAUAAUAUUCUUCGAGCACUGGGACUCCAUCAAACGAGCACCCUCAAGAACCUCUUCAAAAUAGUGCUCGGCAGCUACUCGGCCUAUGGCCGAACCUUGCGCCACAAUAGUGGUAGCAUCCAUCUCCGCCUAGUAUGCCUUGACACUGGCAAAGGCCAUCCGCAAGCCUUCUAUGGACGCCAACCUCUUCAUCGUGUUGAUACGCGGCACCGCACCAAGGAACUAUUCCACUAAGCUGAAAUAGUUGUUUGGCUUCGGCUUCUCCGGCCACAAAUGAUCUACAACAGACCUCAUGGCGAGUUUGGACAACCUAUUAAGUUCGGCCCAUUCGGCUAGCUGAUCAGUCAAGGGAAGCGGACGCUCUGGAACGUUGAAUUGCGACCAGAAUAGCUUGUCCACUUCACGGUCUGAUUGAUCUUGGAAGUAUUCGACCGCAUCGACAGUGCUCGCCGCCAAGUCCAUAUAUGCGUCUGCUGAACUCCACAGCCGAUCCAGAGGGGCAUACCGAGGAUCUCCGAACUUCCUCCACAGCAGAAAGGGCUUCCCAGCCGCAAUAUCCCCGGCUUCGCGCAGCUCCUCCUUCUUCGCCCUCAUAGCAGAGCGGCUGUCUUUGGUCACCAUAGUGGCCUUUUCAAGGUCCGCUCCCUUCACUCGGUUUUCUUCUUCAAGGAACUGGAAACGGUCGGCAGUGCCUUUUAAUUCUACGGCCAUCUUGGCCAUCUUUUUUUUGCUUUCGCAAUGGGCGGCCUUCUCGGCUCUUAACUCUUAGGCCGCCUUCAAAGUAGCCGCAUUACUAACCCUCGCUUGUUCCUUGGCUCGGGCGAGUUCCGCCCGAAGGGUCUCCACGGUGGCAGCUUCGUCUGCAGUCACAACAUAUUAAAGAUACUGACAUCAUGCUGCUCUUAUUGUGUGACAUUCACCAGAAAACAUUACUUACCCUGUGAUUCAUCAAGCCGCUUGUUAACAAGCUCGAUGUUGGUGUCUGCCACAUCCAGUUGCCGUUUUAAUUCGGCAAACUCACUAGUCCGGCUAGCCACCGGAGCUUCCACCAACUGCACAUAAAGGCAGUCUGGUUAUUGCCUGGGACUAUGAUCCUCUGUUCGCCGCUGUUCUCGACGACAACCAGAGUCUCAGGGGCUACUAUCUACACAGGGCACACCUAACAUGUGCGGUACUAUCACAUAUUAUUUCACGUACCUCAAAGCCUGUCAGUAGACUCAUAAAGGCUUCAUGUAAUACGCUUUCGGCGGACGAAAUUCUUUCCAUCACCAUACCCAUCAGCGUACGGUGUUCUUCUGAGAUGGCUGCUCGCCCCAACAGCUCCCUUAGAACGUCCGACCGCAUACCUGAUGGUGCCGGACUCUUUUGUUUGCUCUCUUCGAGAGCCGGACGCUAGGGACUUCGAGGAUCUAUGGGAUUAUCUUCUGGCCUCACCGGGUCCGGAGAGGCCCUCCGUGACGACACUUCGGGGUCGCCCGCUUCUUGAGCGGAGGAGUCCGGGGGAGGCGUUUCGCUCUCCAUCAUCUCCGGAAGAAGAUCCCCCGAAGACGAGCUCAACUGAGAAGGGCUAUGACCCGAACUACAAGAUAUAUGCGGCGGUUAUUUUCUCAGAAGAAAGAUAGUAUACCUCCACUAUUAAAGUAUUUUUUUGGAUCACUUAUGACUCGUUGGAGGGCUGAUCCUCCCGCGGACUUUGUGCGGCAAGAGCACCCCCCGAGGCAGGACCCUCUGUUGGAGACUUCUUCUCUCGUUUGGAGGCCCCGGCUUUCGGAUCCUCGGAAGCAGUCCUCUUCCUCCCCCGGUUAUCCUCCUUUAAGGAGGCGUUCAUUCCCUUGGUUGAAACUGGCAGCGAUGGGGGCCCGCUUCCACCCAUGUUAUUCUCCCCUGUAUCUUCCUUCGAGGGCUCCGGGCAAGGUGCGAGCUCGAGCAUCUUUUCCAAUACCGGAUUUUCCAAACCCUCAGGGAGGGGGGCCGAACACCGAAUCAUCUUCGCCUUUGUUAGCCAGUCCUGGUCAAAGAGCGAUCUCUUAGAAAUAACUUCAUGAUGAAUAAAAGGCGGUGUGUUCAGCUAGAGGAUUUCUUACUUGUUCGGCGGUGCGGUUACUGCUCAGGCCCACAUCCUCAGUUGUAUCCGGACACUCUAUUUGAGGUCCGAAGAAUGACUUGUAAAUAUCCUCGUGCGUCAGGCCGAGGAAACUUUGAAUGGCACGCGGUCCUUCUGGGUUGAACUCCCACAAGCGAAGGGGCCGGCGUUUGCAAGGCUGGACUUGACGAACCAACAUAACUUGUAUUACCACUACCAAAUCAAAAUCUCCCUCGAAGAGAUCUCGAAUGCGGCUUUGCAGUAUCGACACGUCCUUGGCUGGUCCCUAGCUCAGACCUCUGCUAAUCCAUGACUAGUCGUGGUGGGGGGCCUGAGCGGUAAGCGAGGGCAGCCGCCCACUUGGCACUUCUGGGAGCUGUGACGUAAAACCACUCCUGGUACCAUAAUUCGGACACCUCUGGAAAGGAACCUUUCGGCCAUGGAGCUCCUGCCAUCUUGCCUAUUGAUGCACCUCCGCACGCUGCAUGUUGCCCCUCGAUCAUCUUCAGCUUCACUUCAAAGGUCUUGACCCACAGGCCGAAGUGAGGGGUAAUGCGGAGGAAGGCCUCACACACGACAAUAAAUGUCGAGAUGUGGAGAAAGGAGUCCGGAUCUAGAUCAUGGAAAUCUAGCCUGUAAUAGAACAUCAAACCCCUGAUUAAGGGAUCCAGAGUGAGGCCUAGGCCUCGGAGGAAGUGGGAGACAAACACGACGUUCUCGUUAGGUUCGGGAGUAGGGACGACCUGCCCUCGAGCAGGAAGCCGAUGCGAAACCUCGGCGGUCAGGUAUCUGGCCUCCCUCAACUUCUUGAUGUCCUCUUCCGUCACGGAGGAGGCAUUCAUCGGCCUUGAAGGCUGGAUCCGGACAUGAUUGAAGAUCCGGAGCACCUAACCUGGGCUUUGGGUGUUGGAACUCGAGGCGGGGGAAGGGUUCGAUUGAGCACGGGAGGAAGAAAGCGAAAACCUUGUCCCUUUAUAAAGAGGGUGAAUAUCAAGCGUCACUACAAGAAAUAUGUCAACUUAUGACCUUCUGUCAGUGACCCUCGAAGAAUUGGUCAUAAAUUUAUGACCAUUUUAGACCAAUUGGUCAAAACCUGUUCAGGGGGCUCCAAACCCUAAACCAUUGCGACCAUUUUGGUUAGAAAGGUCAUAAUUUCCUUACAUGAAAUGGUCACAAAGCAAACAGUGCUAGUCCGCUGCCUUAUUUCUAGUUGUUAAUGACCAAUAUAGAUGGUCAUAGCCUUGUAGAUUGUGGUGGGUUGUGAUGACUAGGCGCCAUCUCAUCAGUUUUGCCUAUGUGUCAUGUCCAUGUGGCAGUUUUUGCCCUAGGUUGUGAAGCAACCUAUAUUUCUAUCAUUCCCAAAAUUGCCAAAAAAAUCUCAUAAAUUCUUUGGGGCAUAUCUUCAUCAAAUAUGUAAAAAUCCUUCCUUGCCUAGUUCAAAACUAAUUCAACAAUAUUCAUUUUCCUAUUCUGUUCACAACAACACUUUAUGAAGGAAGUGCUAUUUAUAUAUUCUUGAUUGCCCUCGGAAUUUUUGGGCACUCUUUCCUAUCCAAAUCAUUACCGCAUGACAAAAUUCAGCUCCAUUUGCCUAGCAAAUCUUCCUCGGCAAAUUUCCAAAGUUUUUGUCCACCUAGAAGCAUUGUGAAGGAAGUAUCGUUUUUAUAUCUCUAAAUGACAUGAAAUUUAUACAGUUCCUUCAUAUGCCCAAAUUAUCACCCUCCUCCAAAUUGCAGCUCAGUCAAAUCAUCUAUGUGAGCCCAGGUUCAAUUUAUAUUUUAUGGCCAAAUUGGCAAGUUGCAAAGCAAGUGUUAUAUAGACCCCUCCUAUACCCUCAAACUUUUCGGGCACUCUUCCAUACCCAAAUUAUUGCCACAUGAUAAUAUUCAGCUCAAUUUUCCUAGUAAAUCUUUCUCAGGAAAUUUCCAAAGUUUCUACCUCGAGAGAAGCUUUGUGAAGUAAUUACUAGCUAGGCUUACCCAAAUGAUCUGAAAAUUUACCAGCGCAUGACCAUACCUAUGUAACUUACCUACGCAAAUUUUUAGCUCAUUUCAUUCAUCCAACCUCUCUUACUAGUUUUCCCAAGUUUUUGUCCAUAGAAGAGCAUUGUGAAGGAAGUACUACUUUGGCAUGUCAAAAUGAUAUGAAUUUUCUACAAUGCUUUCCUAUGCCCAAAUAACCAUCCUCCACCAAAUUUCAGCUCAAUCCAUUCAUUAUUUUGAGCCGAGCUUCAACAUUCGUAUUUAUGUCCAAUGUGGUACUUUGCAAAGCAAGUACCACCUAGGGUCCUCCUUUUGAGCUGAAAAUUUGUGAAUACAUUCUCCUUAGUAGAUGAUCAUCCUCGGCCAAAACUCACGCCCAUUGGCCAUGUGCAUUUCCCAUACCGCUAAUCAAAGACUUGGCUGCUUAUUCAUGUUUGAGCAUCGAUCGGUCUCCUCGUGAGAAUAUUAUGUUGUGAUUUUCUUCCUAACACCUACCUGGGGAGUGCCCAACCCACUAGACAUGCCUAGGCCGCCUAGAACACAUGGCAACGCCAUGGCCACGUGGUGACCACGCGGCGGGCAUGCGAGUUUACGCGCUCUAGAGUUGGGGCCCUCGGCCACCGCCCAAACCUCGACGUAUCGCCACCAAACCAUGUAUUUAUGAUUAAAUAGGUACUUAUGUAACUAGAAAUGAUUUUUGGACAAAAUAAAUAGCAAACUAUGAGGCAACUGCAGUUCAAAUUUGACCCGCUUCCUGCUGAAUCAACGGGAAUUUGUCUUUUUCACCAGAGGUGGAUCAAAAAUUUUGACACCCAACCAUUUUGUCAAUUGUGCAUUAAAUAUGGCCUAGUAUUUUAUAAAAUUGAUUAGGUCCAAUUUUGCAACAAAUAUAUGGUAGGUCCUUCACAAAAAAACUCAUUUCAGGCACUCGGAAAAUGGAAAAUGGUUUUUUCGUCCAAAGAAAAUGAAAACUUCCUUAGGCAACAUUGUUUGCCAUUUCAAUAUGCACCCUUGUGCACAAUAGGAGAUCAUUUGAACAAACUAUGCCAUGAAUGUGGGCAUAGGAUUGAUCAUUUGGCUUGAAAGCCAUGAAUCUUCACGCAUGAUAGCUCAUUUCUGAUAACACUUUUUUAAAAGAAUUGCCGUAUUACAAGUUUAUUAUUUUUCAUGGUAACUUGGUCAUAUAUAAUGACACAAUGCGAAGGAUUUCCAAUUUUUUGAUUUUUUUGAAUUUGUUAUGCCCGUUUCAAUAUGCGGUCAAAACGGUGGGAAUGACCGUUCCUAGCUAGUGGUUGAAUCUUGGAAUUUUUUUGGUGUUUCUAUGAUUAAAUAUAUACUUAUGUACCUAGAAAUGAGUUUUGGAAAAAAUAAAGAGCAAACUACAAGGCAGCUACAGUUCAAAUUUGACCCACUUCCAACUAAAUCGGCGGAAGUUUGUCUUUUUCACCAGAGGUGGAUCAAAACUUUUGACACCCAACCAUUUGGUCAAUUGUGCAUUAAAUAUGUCCUAGUAUUUUAUAAAAUUGAUUUGGUCCUAUUUUGCAACAAUUAUUUGGGAGGUCCUUCACAAAAAACCCUCCUUUUGGGCACUCGAAAAAUGAAAAAUGGUUUUUUCGUCCAAAGAAAAUGAAAACUUCCUUAGGCAACAUUGUUUGCCAUUCCAAUAUGCACCCUUGUGCACAAUAUGAGAUAAUUUGAACAAACUAUGCCAUGAAUGUGGGCAUAGGAUUGAUCAUUUGGCUUGAAAGCCAUGAAUCUUC